RNAcentral lists this unclassified non-coding RNA (497 nucleotides) under uncultured Glomeromycotina. RNAcentral describes it as "SSU rRNA". It matches the Rfam family "Eukaryotic small subunit ribosomal RNA", at positions 591 to 1092 of the family's 1831-position model. The record is from RNAcentral. Lineage: Eukaryota; Fungi; Glomeromycota.
CCAAUAGCGUAUAUUAAAGUUGUUGCAGUUAAAAAGCUCGUAGUUGAAUUUCGGGAUCAAUUUGUUGGUCGUGCCUCGGUACGUACUGGCAUUAUUGGUUUCUACCUUCUGAAGAACCUUGAUGUCAUUAAUUUGGUGGCUUGGGGAAUCAGGACUGUUACUUUGAAAAAAUUAGAGUGUUUAAAGCAGGCAUACGCUUGAAUACAUUAGCAUGGAAUAAUGAAAUAGGACGUUUGAUUCUAUUUUGUUGGUUUCUAGGAUCGACGUAAUGAUUAAUAGGGAUAGUUGGGGGCAUUAGUAUUCAAUUGUCAGAGGUGAAAUUCUUGGAUUUAUUGAAGACUAACUACUGCGAAAGCAUUUGCCAAGGAUGUUUUCAUUAAUCAAGAACGAAAGUUAGGGGAUCGAAGACGAUCAGAUACCGUCGUAGUCUUAACCAUAAACUAUGCCGACUAGGGAUCGGAUGAUGUUAUUUUUAAUGACUCAUUCGGCGCCUUACG